GACGAACGCUGGCGGCGUACUUAACACAUGCAAGUCGAACGGAAAGGCCCUGCUUUUGUGGGGUGCUCGAGUGGCGAACGGGUGAGUAACACGUGAGUAACCUGCCCUUGACUUUGGGAUAACUUCAGGAAACUGGGGCUAAUACCGGAUAGGAGCUCCUGCUGCAUGGUGGGGGUUGGAAAGUUUCGGCGGUUGGGGAUGGACUCGCGGCUUAUCAGCUUGUUGGUGGGGUAGUGGCUUACCAAGGCUUUGACGGGUAGCCGGCCUGAGAGGGUGACCGGCCACAUUGGGGCUGAGAUACGGCCCAGACUCCUACGGGAGGCAGCAGUGGGGAAUAUUGCACAAUGGGCGGAAGCCUGAUGCAGCAACGCCGCGUGCGGGAUGACGGCCUUCGGGUUGUAAACCGCUUUCGCCUGUGACGAAGCGUGAGUGACGGUAAUGGGUAAAGAAGCACCGGCUAACUACGUG
RNAcentral lists this ribosomal RNA (468 nucleotides) under uncultured bacterium. RNAcentral's name for it is "partial 16S ribosomal RNA". It matches the Rfam family "Bacterial small subunit ribosomal RNA", at positions 28 to 507 of the family's 1533-position model. The record is from RNAcentral.